GGAAAGCAAGAGACUAACCAAGCCCAAGCGUUCUCUUUUGAAGACGGAAGACACGCCUGGUCUGUUCAAGGCCUCCCUGAGGGAAACAACUGAAAAACUGAUGAAAUAUAUGGAACAUCUGUUUUUGAGACAAUGGACAUUAGUCAACGAAGGACAGUGAAUCCUGAGACAUGGAAAACAAAUGAUGAUGAGAUUUCAGUGAUUUUGAAGUCCAGAGUCUUGGAAAGAGAAGAGGAAAUGUUCGUAGCCUGGUGGACAAAGGAAUUUGAUAGAAAAUACUGUAGAUAAUUGUAGAAUUCAGGACUAGAAAGCCCAGCAUGCAAAGCUCUUUCCAAUUUCAUCAUCUUAUCCCACCAUCACAACCCUGGGAGAUCAUUUAGGACUCUGAGCCCCAGAAUGUUCUGCUUCUCUGGAAUGCAGUCUGAUGUGAUUGUGAAUCAAAAGGAUACCUCACUGCCCGGUACUAUAAGGUGCCACCCAGCCAUCCAUGCUGGAAUUUGACUCAACAGCAAGUUGCCAGGGAAACAGCCAGAUUAGAUCCCGUGACAUUGCUUUGUUCCAUUCCCACUCUCACUUCUAGACCACAUCACCCGGAAGGAGACAAAACCCUGGAUCUGGAAUAAUUUGGGAUACUGGGCAGUAUUUAACCAGACGGUGAAAGAGAGGGGCUAGCUGCCAGUCUGACUGUCUUGGUGGAGCCAAUACUGCAGUAAUCAUAUGAUAGUCUUGUGUAUAUCAAAAGAAUAUUUGAUUUCCUGAGGGCAGUGGAGAGCAUGAGAAAGAAAAAUAUGCC
This is a long non-coding RNA of Piliocolobus tephrosceles (Ugandan red Colobus), 793 nucleotides long. RefSeq lists it as uncharacterized. NCBI's taxonomy places the organism in Eukaryota, Metazoa, Chordata, Mammalia, Primates, Cercopithecidae. The transcript is spliced from 6 exons. The record is from RefSeq and is a predicted model, not a curated record.